CAUAAACUCAAACCCACUUGUGCUGGAGCCUGCCAGCAGGGCACCGUGGUCUGAAGGAGGGGGUAUCAUGCAGGAGCAGUGAGGACCAAAAGAGUCUGGUUUGCAGCAGCAUGUCUCUUCAAUCCAGUGGACAAGUUGAGGAGGAAAUAAACCAGAAAAAGAGGACAGAGGGAUUCUGAAGAUUUUAUUUCUUCAGAUACGUACAUUUCUGCAUCACUAAAGACAAGACAGUGUGAUUUUGGAUCCCCUGAUUAUUUCAUCCAAGUUGAAUCUCUAAGUGACAUGCAUUCCUCUCUGGAGUUGUCUGCUGCUUGCCAUGCACUGAGUACCUGGAGUGCUGUUACAUUUUGUUUCCAGAAGUUACAACUUGCUGCAAGGGGAGAGCUCGGCUUGAGCCCAGGGUCAAUUCUGCAGCCACAGGUAAUGCUAAGAAAAGGCUGGUGGGAGAUUAGGCAGAAAUGCACAUUCAAUAAAGUCAAAAGGAUUUUGUCUCCCUAAAGGUUUGGAAGCAAUGAGUUUGUAGAUAACUCAAUGCCUGUUUGCCCUAUGGACAUCACUCUUUAACUUUCACUGAGGCAGAGCAUGCUGUUAUCCUGUAGACACCCAGUGAAGCAGACAGGAAAGAUUUUUCAGUUUUUUCUGGCCGGAUCUGUAGUGCUUUUUUUUUAGGACAGAUCUUCUAUGAAAAUGAUACCAAGUUCAAGGUUAUUUUUAAUGGUGGCUUUACAGUUUGCCAGCUACUAAUGGUAUUUCCUUAGAUGCCUCCAAAACCAUCCCAAACCAUUAUUUUCAGCCACUCCUUUAAUUGUCUGUCUAAAAGAUCAUGGUUUUGAAGACAAAAUCCCACAGCUUUACAUCUUCUUGAUCUUUCUUUAACUCCACUUGACAUUUGGAUUUUUCUUUCUCAACCUUAUGCAACUGAAUUACCUGCAAUUUCUUUUAAAAUCAAUACCUUUGAUAACUUUCUAUAUGGCUUAAAACUCAGAAAUAAAUCGAUUACAUAGCAUUAUAAAGCCAAAUUAAAGCUGAAGAUUAAAAUAAAAGUUAGAAUAAUUAAUAAUAGAAUAAUUCCUAAAAUAUAUUGCCUUGCCUUGCCUUCUUCCCCUAUUUCUCCCCCUCCAGACAAGGCAUACCAAACUAGUUAUCUUAACAGAAUGAUAUUUAACACAGAGCAUUACUGUCAAUGAUUUAUGUAUAGCAGAGUUUCCUGAAGAGCAAGAUAUCAGACCAGUAACUAAGUCUCAGAGAUUUUUCAGAACAUCAACUUCAAAGUUGAUUUGCAAAUUGCAUUUUGGUUUAGAAAUGUUGAACACACUUUCUCAAAAUCCACACUUAUCAUUACCAAGACAUUCUUAGUUAAACAUCUUUUGAAAAGAUAUUUCUUGCCCCAAAACUCUGAUACUCUGUUACCAUCUGGAACAGAUUUCGUGUUCACUUCUCUGUCUGAAUAUCCUCCUCACUGCAGGAAGGACAGAAUAAAAGACCUGGAAA
Oxyura jamaicensis (ruddy duck) is the source of this 1491-nucleotide long non-coding RNA. RefSeq lists it as uncharacterized. The record is from RefSeq and is a predicted model, not a curated record. The transcript has 3 exons. Lineage: Eukaryota; Metazoa; Chordata; Aves; Anseriformes; Anatidae.